This 350-nucleotide transfer-messenger RNA is filed under the name mouse gut metagenome. It matches the Rfam family "transfer-messenger RNA". From Rfam's summary of the family: Bacterial tmRNA, also known as 10Sa RNA or SsrA, is named for its dual tRNA and mRNA-like properties. Its role is to liberate the mRNA from a stalled ribosome. To accomplish this part of the tmRNA is used as a reading frame that ends in a translation stop signal. The record is from RNAcentral. RNAcentral also lists the same sequence under 1 other name.
GGGGACGUUACGGAUUCGACAGGGGUAGGUUGUGCUUAAGUGGCGAGUCGAGGGGUCGCGGGACCUCGUAAAAACGCGAAAGCCUAUAAAUGGCAAAAACAAUAAUUACGCUUUAGCAGCUUAAUGCUAAAACCUCCCAGCUUUAUCUCCCAUGUAAAGCUGACGAGGUUCAUUUCUGUGGGAUACGCUUCUUAUCCUCCGCCUGCGGAUAAAAGAAGAGAUCAACCAGGCUAGAAUGUCGGAGGCCUGUCGGUGGGCAUAACACAUUUCGAACAAAAAUAUACCGACUACACUCGUAGAGGCUUAAGUAACAAUAUCUUUGGACGCGGGUUCGACUCCCGCCGUCUCCA